UACGUAGGGUGCAAGCGUUAAUCGGAAUUACUGGGCGUAAAGCGUGCGCAGGCGGUGAUGCAAGACCGAUGUGAAAUCCCCGGGCUCAACCUGGGAACUGCAUUGGUGACUGCAUCGCUAGAGUAUGGCAGAGGGGGGUAGAAUUCCACGUGUAGCAGUGAAAUGCGUAGAGAUGUGGAGGAAUACCGAUGGCGAAGGCAGCCCCCUGGGUCAAUACUGACGCUCAUGCACGAAAGCGUGGGGAGCAAACAGG
This 253-nucleotide ribosomal RNA is filed under the name uncultured bacterium. RNAcentral describes it as "partial 16S ribosomal RNA". It matches the Rfam family "Bacterial small subunit ribosomal RNA", at positions 524 to 776 of the family's 1533-position model. The record is from RNAcentral.